GAAAUGCGAUAAGUAAUGUGAAUUGCAGAAUUCAGUGAAUCAUCGAAUCUUUGAACGCACAUUGCGCCCUUUGGUAUCCCGAAGGGCAUGCCUGUUCGAGCGUCAUUAUCAGCCCCUCAAGCCCGGCUUGUCGUUGGGCCAGGCCAUCUCUCUCGGGGCGGCCGGCCCAAAAGAUAGUGGCAGAGUCGCGCGGACCCUGGAUGCAGCGAGCUUCUUUCCGAGCACGCAUCCCGGCGGUCCUCCGGCCCCGUCUCAACCGUUAAAACUUUCAAUGGUUGACCUCGGAUCAGGUAGGGAUACCCGCUGAACUUAA
This 313-nucleotide unclassified non-coding RNA is filed under the name uncultured Ascomycota. RNAcentral's name for it is "sequence contains ITS1". The stretch from base 1 to 105 matches the Rfam family "5.8S ribosomal RNA", at positions 50 to 154 of the family's 154-position model. The record is from RNAcentral. Lineage: Eukaryota; Fungi; Ascomycota.